CUACUAAAUUGUCAGGAAUCCCCCUGCCACGCCCCCUUUGGUGCUUCGGGGAACGCCCUGCUCCUUCUCUCAUGUGCCCCGCCCACAUGGAGCUCCUCGCAUCGGGCUUCAUUGAGAACACCUGAGGCAUAUUCACUCACUCAUCACACCGCCGAUAUAAACCACAUUCCCCCACACUCCGGCUCCUUUAUUGCAUGUUCCUGUGUGUUCAUAUUGCCUUAUGUGCGCGCGCAUGCGUUUCCCGCUACGUGCAGUUCGACCCGGACUCUCGCGCUCUCGCUCCGCGUGCACUCUUUCCAGGCGCACCGUGGAUAUUACUUUCCUUUUUCCCGGAUUCCCUCAUUCGGAUUAUUCCUCAGACUCUGGACUAUUGUGGGCCACCGGAAUAAUCCUUUCACAGCAAUCUGGUGACGCCAAAAAAAAAAAGAGAGACACCAAGCAGAGAGACGAGCGGAAGGUCGCUGAAGCGGAAAUAAGCGCAGACGGGCGCCGGUGUAAGAUGCGUCACCCGGAAAGUGAACUCGCGUGGACGCGAAGAAAAGUUGUGCCGGUGCGUGAGGAAACUCUGGUGGGCGCUAAAGAGAGAAAGCGUGAGGGAGGGACCACCGGCGAACGUCAAGAAGGAAAGGCGUCCCGAACCGUGAGUGUGUGGGUGAACCCUGGUGUGAGCACUGGAAAGGAAAACGCCAGGGUGAAAACGAAAGAAAAUAAAGAAGCUCUGCUUGGUGAA
This is a long non-coding RNA of Silurus meridionalis, 730 nucleotides long. RefSeq lists it as uncharacterized. The record is from RefSeq and is a predicted model, not a curated record. NCBI's taxonomy places the organism in Eukaryota, Metazoa, Chordata, Actinopteri, Siluriformes, Siluridae. The transcript has 2 exons.